Molecule: ribosomal RNA, 295 nt
Filed under: uncultured bacterium
Lineage: Bacteria
Description: partial 16S ribosomal RNA
Rfam family: Bacterial small subunit ribosomal RNA
Source: RNAcentral
CCUACGGGGCGCAGCAGUGGGGAAUAUUGCACAAUGGGGGAAACCCUGAUGCAGCGACGCCGCGUGAAGGAAGAAGUAUUUCGGUAUGUAAACUUCUAUCAGCAGGGAAGAACAAUGACGGUACCUGACUAAGAAGCACCGGCUAAAUACGUGCCAGCAGCCGCGGUAAUACGUAUGGUGCAAGCGUUAUCCGGAUUUACUGGGUGUAAAGGGAGCGCAGGCGGCGCGUUAAGCCUGGUGUGAAAGCCCGCGGCCCAACCGCGGGACGGCAUUGGGAACUGGCGCGCUGGAGUGC